GACGAACGCUGGCGGCGUGCUUAACACAUGCAAGUCGAACGGAAAGGCCCUGCUUUUGUGGGGUGCUCGAGUGGCGAACGGGUGAGUAACACGUGAGUAACCUACCCUUGACUUUGGGAUAACUUCAGGAAACUGGGGCUAAUACCGGAUAGGAGCUCCUGCUGCAUGGUGGGGGUUGGAAAGUUUCGGCGGUUGGGGAUGGACUCGCGGCUUAUCAGCUUGUUGGUGGGGUAGUGGCUUACCAAGGCUUUGACGGGUAGCCGGCCUGAGAGGGUGACCGGCCACAUUGGGACUGAGAUACGGCCCAGACUCCUACGGGAGGCAGCAGUGGGGAAUAUGGCACAAUGGGCGGAAGCCUGAUGCAGCAACGCCGCGUGCGGGAUGACGGCCUUCGGGUUGUAAACCGCUUUCGCCUGUGACGAAGCGUGAGUGACGGUAAUGGGUAAAGAAGCACCGGCUAACUACGUG
This 468-nucleotide ribosomal RNA is filed under the name uncultured bacterium. RNAcentral describes it as "partial 16S ribosomal RNA". It matches the Rfam family "Bacterial small subunit ribosomal RNA", at positions 28 to 507 of the family's 1533-position model. The record is from RNAcentral.